UUAGGGGGGGAUUCAAGAAUGAAAAAAGAAAUGAACAUAGUCUCUUCUCUCUCAUAUCUCACGUUCAUCUUCAUAUUUAGCUACAGUGACCAAAACAAAAUACUCAGUUAUUUUUUCCACACACAGUAAAAUACUCCUCACUCAUUUCCAACUAAAACCAAACCUCACAUUAACUUCUUUUUUAAUAACAACACAAUAUUCUUCAAACACUCCAUAAAUCUCUUCACCAUAUUAUAACACUCUC
Molecule: long non-coding RNA, 244 nt
Filed under: Lathyrus oleraceus (garden pea)
Lineage: Eukaryota; Viridiplantae; Streptophyta; Magnoliopsida; Fabales; Fabaceae
Description: Pisum sativum (pea) long non-coding RNA (PSAT_LNC013182)
Source: RNAcentral